Molecule: long non-coding RNA, 831 nt
Organism: Xenia sp. Carnegie-2017
Lineage: Eukaryota; Metazoa; Cnidaria; Anthozoa; Malacalcyonacea; Xeniidae
Exons: 2
Source: RefSeq, a predicted model, not a curated record
GCAAUCGUCUUUGACGAUUUUGUUGACGAUUUUGUUGACGAUUUUAUUUCCUACUGCGCAUGUGGCGCAGCGAAUUUUUAAGACGAUCGUCAUAAAAAUCGUCUAGUGGAGAUCCGCCCUUACGGCAGCGAAACAUACCACUGCAUAUAAUUUAAAUAAAAACAACAGAUAGACAAAUGGUCGUGGUAUUUUGAACAGACUAUUGAUCUAACCAAACUUAAAGACAACUCAACAAGUGUGAUCGCAUGGAACCUUCAUUAUACAUCAAAGUUGUUGGAUCUUGGUUAAAAAGUAAUGACACAAGAAAUGCAAUUGCAAACACCCCACAGUCAACGUAAUUGAAUUGAUAGUGGACAUGUGGUAUGUUGAUUGUGAUUGAUGGUGUUGGCUCAUGGAGUAGGUUGGCAAUUUGUUUUUCUGUUAAAGAACUGACUCUUCCAUUGUACAAACUGUCAUAUAAAUUGACUGAAGCAGGCUGACAGUCAAUAUUUGAAACCAAUACCCAGUGAUGAAUACCUGUGUGGAGAAUCUGGAAAAAAGUACCCCGAUGUACAGAAAAAUUGGUAAAAGGGCCAAGUGUUGUGUUUUCUAAACCAAGUACGGCAGGAAAUUGUUUCUGCAAAACAUGUGCAGCACCAAUGAUGUGAUCUGUUAACUCUUUUCUGGUGAUGAUUAUAUUUAUGUCAAUGUUACUAAUUUUAAAAAAUCCACGCUUUGGGGUCUGAACGAUCUUUUCCAGUUUAUCACCUGAUUCUUUGUUCAAGGGCUCAAUAGGUCUGUAAUGGGAAGAGUUUAUUUCAUCUGUCACAAUAUUUGAAUCAUUUCGUCCAA